GUGGUGUCACAAAAUCGGAGGCCCCGACUGUUUACUAAAAACACAAUUCAGAGCAAUGAUGUAAAUCAUAGUAUUCUGGAUGAAAUUUGCCCGAUGCCAUUAACAUAAAAGAGGUAAUGGGAAACUGUUACUAAUUGAAAGUCUGGUUAAUAGCGGUCUUAACUAUGAGGAUCCUAAGGUAGCAAAAUCAGUUGGCCAUUAAAUGUGGUCUGGUAUCAAUAGUGUAACGAUGGUCUCACUGUCUCUACAACUUGCUCAGUGAAAUUGAAUUAUCCGUGCAGAUGCGGAUUGCCUCCAGGGUGGGACGGGAAG
Molecule: ribosomal RNA, 312 nt
Filed under: thelephoroid fungal sp. 23MR
Lineage: Eukaryota; Fungi; Basidiomycota; Agaricomycetes; Thelephorales; Thelephoraceae
Description: LSU rRNA
Rfam family: Bacterial large subunit ribosomal RNA
Source: RNAcentral